UCCGGUUUGAUUCCUUACUGGUCGGCUGGCAGUAGCUGCAGUUUCGUGUAGUUAGCGUGUAGCAGUUUUGCUAUUUGUUUCUUGUGUGUAACAUUCCAUGAUCCGUUUGUUCAUUCCUAGUUUGCUUUUUGCCCCUUUGUGUGGCUUGUUUUCCUUCGGUGUGCUCUUGUAGUGAAUUUAACGACUGCUGAACUUUCAGUCCUCUCACACUACAGGAGUGAGCACAUUUGUUUAUGCUUAUCCAGAACAAGUGCAGUGUUCUCAUUAUGACUCAAAGAUAUGUACAGUGUUGGGUGAUCGUGUCAAGUUGUUCCAGCCCUUUGGGACAGAGAUGGAGUGUGUGCAAACACUUGGAGGUCUGAGAGGGGGGAAUUUUCUGGAAGAUCUGAAUGCUCCUGUCUGAGAAUUAAAUUGCUGACCAACCUGGACCCCACACUGUGACCAAUUGCAUCCCAACUACUGCAAAGUGAUCGCUUUAACAACAAAGACAUGGUAAUCCAUAAUUUACAACUGAGUAUUUCUGAGCAAGAAGAGGAAAUCAUUCAACUCAGAAGACAGAUCAGUGAGCUGCAAACUUCACCAAAGAGGUCAUCACUAUAAUAACUACUGACUAUCCAGUAAUUAUGUGACUUUGGCAUAUUAUGUGUAUAGUUUUCCUUUAUUCAUUUUUGGGAAUGUCCCUGUGUCCCAACAUUAGUCAAAUUUGUCAGCAUGUAUGAAGACCGCAUGUACUUCUGGGAACAAUUUUUCUUUUGUCUUUUAAAACAUUAAAGUAUUUUAUAUUUCA
Long non-coding RNA from Tachysurus vachellii, 787 nucleotides. RefSeq lists it as uncharacterized. The transcript has 4 exons. The record is from RefSeq and is a predicted model, not a curated record. NCBI's taxonomy places the organism in Eukaryota, Metazoa, Chordata, Actinopteri, Siluriformes, Bagridae.